RNAcentral lists this long non-coding RNA (860 nucleotides) under Homo sapiens (human). RNAcentral's name for it is "HSALNT0386911". Lineage: Eukaryota; Metazoa; Chordata; Mammalia; Primates; Hominidae. The record is from RNAcentral.
GCAUGAUAUUCCAACCCCCAAACAAUCCCGAGUGAAAGGCCUGGCCACCUCUGUUGACAUGUGUAACAAUAUGUUGAAUUUGCCAUGGGCCUUUAAAGCUUCAAUGUUGUGAAGAGCUCUGCAUGAAAUUUUAAAGAGACUGGACCUUUCAUCUGCACAACAGCAGGGCACCUCGCUAUAGGGACAAGAAAGGAAGAGAGAGAGAGAACAUUUCUGAAGUAAUAGUGAAAAAUAACAGCAGAAGCAAUUAUUUCAUCAAAGAUUGCAGGGAGAGGCUCCUCCGUGCUCCUGAGAGGCCGAACACAGGGUCGCCAGCACAGCUUACUGCUCGGUGUCUCCUGAGCCACAGAGGAAGACGUGGCAGGAGCACCUGGUGCUAAUAUAUAUUCAUGUCUAUGGCAAUGCCGACCAUCUGGCUGGUCUGAACCAGGAUAAAAGUGAAGAAUUCCUCUGUGAAGACCCAGCUCUUUCUUUGGCUCCUUUUUUGAAGCCAUCUUUGCUCUGCUCUCCUCUGCUGCCCAGAAAGUUCCAGAGUGAAGCUCAGCUCUAGAUGAACAAAAACUGGUUGAGUCCAGAGAUGCCUGAGUUGGAGAUGAACCUUGCAAACUUUCCUCAUUACCAUACUAAAAACCCCACCCAGGAAGGAGCUUAUCUGCCAUUUCCUACACAUGUGACAUAUGGAGAAGCAUGAUCAGCUACUUCACAGUCUCUGCCUUUACUCUGCCUCCGCAUACAAUGGCUCAGCCAACUAGCCUAACGAAAGCUGUUUUCACCAUUGUUUGGGAGGUACUGCUUUGGGAAACUGCCCCAGCUGUCCUCCUUACUUGUUGUAGGUAAUAAAAUCCCUUUGUUAAAUCUUC